This 498-nucleotide ribosomal RNA is filed under the name Corynebacterium sp. RNAcentral describes it as "bacterial SSU rRNA". It matches the Rfam family "Bacterial small subunit ribosomal RNA", at positions 395 to 903 of the family's 1533-position model. Lineage: Bacteria; Bacillati; Actinomycetota; Actinomycetes; Mycobacteriales; Corynebacteriaceae. The record is from RNAcentral.
CGCCGCGUGGGGGAUGACGGCCUUCGGGUUGUAAACUCCUUUCGCCAGGGACGAAGCGUUUUGUGACGGUACCUGGAGAAGAAGCACCGGCUAACUACGUGCCAGCAGCCGCGGUAAUACGUAGGGUGCAAGCGUUGUCCGGAAUUACUGGGCGUAAAGAGCUCGUAGGUGGUUUGUCACGUCGUCUGUGAAAUUCCACAGCUUAACUGUGGGCGUGCAGGCGAUACGGGCUGACUUGAGUACUGUAGGGGUAACUGGAAUUCCUGGUGUAGCGGUGAAAUGCGCAGAUAUCAGGAGGAACACCGAUGGCGAAGGCAGGUUACUGGGCAGUUACUGACGCUGAGGAGCGAAAGCAUGGGUAGCAAACAGGAUUAGAUACCCUGGUAGUCCAUGCCGUAAACGGUGGGCGCUAGGUGUAGGGGCCUUUUGGGGUUUCUGUGCCGUAGCUAACGCAUUAAGCGCCCCGCCUGGGGAGUACGGCCGCAAGGCUAAAACUCA